RNAcentral lists this long non-coding RNA (229 nucleotides) under Lathyrus oleraceus (garden pea). RNAcentral describes it as "Pisum sativum (pea) long non-coding RNA (PSAT_LNC019287)". The record is from RNAcentral. Lineage: Eukaryota; Viridiplantae; Streptophyta; Magnoliopsida; Fabales; Fabaceae.
UCAAUGGUCGAUGAAGCGUUUGAGUUGUCUGAAAGGAAACCGCAAUUGUCAGAAAUAGAGAUCUCACUAGAAUAUAAGUGAGUCUUGUCAGAGUUGAUGGUGGCUACGAUGGAUACAUCAUUGGCGGUAUGAAACCGUUUGGUUAUUGUAGUCUGGUCGGUUUUGAUGGAGUAUGUGAGUGAUUUUUUUUAUGGUUCAAAGGAGAGGAUGGUAGGGUGGUGCGUGAUUG